Molecule: ribosomal RNA, 379 nt
Filed under: uncultured cyanobacterium
Lineage: Bacteria; Bacillati; Cyanobacteriota
Description: bacterial SSU rRNA
Rfam family: Bacterial small subunit ribosomal RNA
Source: RNAcentral
CGAAAGCCUGACGGAGCAACGCCGCGUGGGGGAAGAAGGUUCUUGGAUUGUAAACCCCUUUUCUCAGGGAAGAAGAUCUGACGGUACCUGAGGAAUCAGCCUCGGCUAACUCCGUGCCAGCAGCCGCGGUAAUACGGAGGAGGCAAGCGUUAUUCGGAAUUACUGGGCGUAAAGCGUCCGUAGGGGGCUCGUCAAGUCUGCUGUCAAAGCUCGGAGCUCAACUCCGACCCGGCAGUGGAAACUGGGGAGCUAGAGGGCGGCAGGGGCAGAAGGAAUUCCCGGUGUAGCGGUGAAAUGCGUAGAUAUCGGGAAGAACACCAGAGGCGAAAGCGCUCUACUGGACGGCAACUGACACUCAGGGACGAAAGCUAGGGGAGCG